AUUCCCAGACCUCCCUAUUUUUAGAUAAAUUUUUUUAUAUUUUUUUGGUAGGAAAAGAAGUCCUAAAACUCUUAGAAAAUGUAUUAAACACUUAGAAAUUUUUCUGACCAUCGGAUGGAGCUUAGACCGUCCAGAUCUGCCCAAAAUUUGAUGUUUAAAUCCUUAUCAGGGCCGGAUUCCACCACAGCUGGCUGAUCGUGCUCCAGAUUGAAUUCUGGCUG
Molecule: long non-coding RNA, 221 nt
Filed under: Elaeis guineensis (African oil palm)
Lineage: Eukaryota; Viridiplantae; Streptophyta; Magnoliopsida; Arecales; Arecaceae
Description: long non-coding RNA (EGUI_LNC065095)
Source: RNAcentral